This 458-nucleotide ribosomal RNA is filed under the name uncultured bacterium. RNAcentral's name for it is "partial 16S ribosomal RNA". It matches the Rfam family "Bacterial small subunit ribosomal RNA", at positions 28 to 507 of the family's 1533-position model. The record is from RNAcentral.
GAUAAACGCUGGCGGCGUGCAUGAUACAUGCAAGUCGAACGAAGGAUCGGGCUUGCUCGUUCCUUAGUGGCGGACGGCUGAGUAACGCGUACGUGACCUACCCCGAAGUGGGGAAUAACUGCCCGAAAGGGUGGCCAAUACCGCAUGUGGUCGCACGUUCAUUCGUGCUGGUAAAGCCGCAAGGCGCGUCGGGAGGGGCCUGCGUCCGAUUAGCUCGUUGGUGGGGUAAUGGCUUACCAAGGCGACGAUCGGUAGGUGGGCUGAGAGGCAGGUCACCCAGACUGGGACUGGGAAACGGCACAGACUCCUACGGGAUGAAGGAAUAGGGAAUUUUGCACAAUGGCGGAAACGCUGAAGGAGCAACGCCGGGUGAGGGAUGAAGGCAUGGGGGUUGUAAACCUCUUUUGACAGGGACGAUCAUGACGGUACCUGGCGAAUAAGCCACGGCUAACUACGUG